ACGCUCGACACCUACGGGAGCAGCAGUGAGGAAUAUUGGUCAAUGGGCGCAGGCCUGAACCAGCCAAGUAGCGUGAAGGAUGACUGCCCUAUGGGUUGUAAACUUCUUUUAUAUGGGAAUAAAGUUUUCCACGUGUGGAAUUUUGUAUGUACCAUAUGAAUAAGGAUCGGCUAACUCCGUGCCUGCAGCCGCGGUAAUCUGAGCGGGCUGGCAAGGC
RNAcentral lists this ribosomal RNA (217 nucleotides) under uncultured bacterium. Its description in RNAcentral is "partial 16S ribosomal RNA". It matches the Rfam family "Bacterial small subunit ribosomal RNA", at positions 328 to 539 of the family's 1533-position model. The record is from RNAcentral.